Molecule: transfer RNA, 74 nt
Filed under: Phormidium sp.
Lineage: Bacteria; Bacillati; Cyanobacteriota; Cyanophyceae; Oscillatoriales; Oscillatoriaceae
Also listed under: 2 other names
Description: tRNA-Ala
Rfam family: tRNA
About the family: Transfer RNA (tRNA) molecules are approximately 80 nucleotides in length. Their secondary structure includes four short double-helical elements and three loops (D, anti-codon, and T loops).
Source: RNAcentral
GGGUCUGUAGCUUAAUUGGUAAAGCAUCGCUCUGGCAGAGCGAAAGAUGUCAGUUCAAGUCUGACCAGUAUCCA